AAGAUGAGAUUUCUUUUAAGGGUCGUGGGAGAUGACCACGUUGAUAGGCUAUAGAUGUAAAGGCAGUAAUGUCAUAGUCGAGUAGUACUAAUAACCCGUAAGCUUAUGUAC
RNAcentral lists this ribosomal RNA (111 nucleotides) under Flavobacterium sp. RNAcentral describes it as "partial 23S ribosomal RNA". It matches the Rfam family "Bacterial large subunit ribosomal RNA", at positions 2801 to 2925 of the family's 2925-position model. The record is from RNAcentral. Lineage: Bacteria; Pseudomonadati; Bacteroidota; Flavobacteriia; Flavobacteriales; Flavobacteriaceae.